Peromyscus leucopus (white-footed mouse) is the source of this 696-nucleotide long non-coding RNA. RefSeq lists it as uncharacterized. Lineage: Eukaryota; Metazoa; Chordata; Mammalia; Rodentia; Cricetidae. The record is from RefSeq and is a predicted model, not a curated record. The transcript is spliced from 4 exons.
CCACUGUGCUCAGAUAACAGAGAGAGAAAUGAGACCUUGUUCCCUCAGGGAUGGAGAGGAUGAGAAAGAUACAUAAGGAACCAAACCAGAAAGGUGACUGUACGCUGUCACUUCGCAAAGAUCAGAGAACCUUGUGGACCCACCUACCUUUUAAUUUACCACUGGCUAUGACAUACCAGCUCUUCUGUGGGACUUGGAGUCCUGUCCUCUCUCCCUUCAUACAUUCGCCCGGUCCAUCACCUUGUUUGCUCAAGCUAUCCUCUGUGGGAGACCAUGAGGGCUGUUUCCAAGCUUUUACUAUUGGAGACUAAGACGCCUCAAACUUUCAGUUGCCCUGCCUGAGUCUUCCAUGUGCUGAAGUGAGAAGUCUACACCCCCAUCCACAGCAAGAAUCUUCUCGAGUCUGUGAGAAUCCUUCGUGAUGAAACCCUAAUCUGAUAGGUCUUAAAACAUUUUAAAAACUGCAAAACUCAUAUUUUCCAUGUGCAAUCUAUGUAGAAAAACAUGAAAUUGCUGAUUUGAUUCACCUUGAAUUAAUAAAUACAAAUUUUAAAUGGGUACUUAGAAAAUACCACUCUAAUUUUUAAAUUGUACACUUUCACUGAUUUCUUAGCUUCUCUCCUUAAAAUUUCCACACCCUUCAUUCUCAGUUUAUGAUGCCAUGGGGUAAGCAGAAACAAUAACAUGACCAUUACU